UAAGGAAGGCAGCAGGCGCGUAAAUUACCCAAUCCUAAUUCAGGGAGGUAGUGACAAGAAAUAACAACUCGGGCCCCACAUGGGGUUGCGAGAUUGCAAUGAGAACAAUUUAAACCACUUAUCGAGUAACAAUUGGAGGGCAAGUCUGGUGCCAGCAGCCGCGGUAAUUCCAGCUCCAAUAGCGUAUAUUAAAGUUGUUGCAGUUAAAAAGCUCGUAGUUGAAUUUCUGGCCGGCGCUGUUCACGGCUCUCGCAGUCGGUUCAGGAGCCUGGUCAUCCGUAUGGGAAGCUAGCACGUCCUUCAGUGGUCGGCUAGUGGAUCA
This 322-nucleotide ribosomal RNA is filed under the name Colpoda steini. Its description in RNAcentral is "SSU rRNA". It matches the Rfam family "Eukaryotic small subunit ribosomal RNA", at positions 417 to 737 of the family's 1831-position model. The record is from RNAcentral. Lineage: Eukaryota; Ciliophora; Colpodea; Colpodida; Colpodidae.